GAUUAACGCUGGCGGCGUGCAUAACACAUGCAAGUCGAACGAUGAAACUUUAAUGAACCCUUCGGGGAGAAUUAAAGCGGAUUAGUGGCGAACGGGUGAGUAAUGCAUCGGAACGUGCCCAGUAGUGGGGGAUAGCCCGGCGAAAGCCGGAUUAAUACCGCAUACGACCUGAGGGUGAAAGCGGGGGACCGAAAGGCCUCGCGCUAUUGGAGCGGCCGAUGUCGGAUUAGCUAGUUGGUGGGGUAAAGGCUUACCAAGGCGACGAUCCGUAGCUGGUCUGAGAGGACGACCAGCCACACUGGGACUGAGACACGGCCCAGACUCCUACGGGAGGCAGCAGUGGGGAAUUUUGGACAAUGGGGGCAACCCUGAUCCAGCCAUGCCGCGUGCGGGAAGAAGGCCUUCGGGUUGUAAACCGCUUUUGUUCGGGAAGAAAUCCUCUGGGCUAAUACCCCGGGGGGAUGACGGUACCGGAAGAAUAAGCACCGGCUAACUACGUG
RNAcentral lists this ribosomal RNA (500 nucleotides) under uncultured bacterium. RNAcentral describes it as "partial 16S ribosomal RNA". It matches the Rfam family "Bacterial small subunit ribosomal RNA", at positions 28 to 507 of the family's 1533-position model. The record is from RNAcentral.